Molecule: non-coding RNA, 303 nt
Organism: Cinara cedri
Lineage: Eukaryota; Metazoa; Arthropoda; Insecta; Hemiptera; Aphididae
Source: the annotation of a GenBank genome assembly
UUCAUUUCUAGAUCACCCCUCGAUCAAAUAUUCGCAUUUUGUGUAAUACAAACGACAAUUUCCGACCGAACGCGCGCACCUCUAUGAUCCAAUUUCGACGGACGUUAAACGAAAACGCGUAGCUCGCAAUGAAUAAUAUGCUCAAUACUGUGUGAUUCUUUCUCGUUGUUAACCGGAGAAUUUUCACUCGAUAUACGAACACGAAAUCCGUUCAAGAUUUACACGUAAUAAUUGAAACGCGCAGUUAACGAGUAUAGUGGAUCCGCCACGAUUUUCAAACGUCGAACAGUAAUUUCAGUCGUU